UCUCCGUUGGUGAACCAGCGGAGGGAUCAUUACCGAGUUUACAACUCCCAAACCCAAGGUGAACGUUACCAAACUGUUGCCUCGGCGGGAUCUCUGCCCCGGGUGCGUCGCAGCCCCGGACCAAGGCGCCCGCCGGCGGACCAAACUAAAACUCUUAUUGUAUACCCCCUCGCCAGUUUAUUUAUAAUCUGAGCCUUAUCGGCGCCUCUCGUAGGCGUUUCGAAAAUAAAUCAAAACUUUCAACAACGGAUCUCUUGGUUCUG
RNAcentral lists this unclassified non-coding RNA (263 nucleotides) under plant metagenome. RNAcentral describes it as "partial contains small subunit ribosomal RNA, internal transcribed spacer 1, and 5.8S ribosomal RNA". The record is from RNAcentral.